CGGGGUGUGGCGCAGUUGGCUAGCGCGCGCGGUUUGGGACCGCGAGGUCGCCGGUUCGAGUCCGGCCUCCCCGACCA
RNAcentral lists this transfer RNA (77 nucleotides) under Candidatus Saccharimonadota bacterium. RNAcentral describes it as "tRNA-Pro". It matches the Rfam family "tRNA". Rfam says of the family: Transfer RNA (tRNA) molecules are approximately 80 nucleotides in length. Their secondary structure includes four short double-helical elements and three loops (D, anti-codon, and T loops). The record is from RNAcentral. Lineage: Bacteria; Candidatus Saccharimonadota.